AGGGGCAUCUGGUGGAUCUGGCCAAGUUGUUUGACCAUGAUCGAGACAACUCAGACUGAGGUUGAGUCCGAAUCAGUGCACUUGUGGAGUGUUGUCCGGUAAACUGCUGAGGUUUAUUGUGAACAAAAGAGGAAUCGAGGUCGAUCCUGCUAAAAAAAUGAAAAAAGGAAAGAAAAAAAAAAGAAAAAAGCAAUGCAAGAAAUGCCUGAACCGAAAACAAAACAAAAAGAGAGCAAACGGUCAGGUAGGAUAAUGAUU
This 258-nucleotide long non-coding RNA is filed under the name Lathyrus oleraceus (garden pea). RNAcentral describes it as "Pisum sativum (pea) long non-coding RNA (PSAT_LNC028095)". Lineage: Eukaryota; Viridiplantae; Streptophyta; Magnoliopsida; Fabales; Fabaceae. The record is from RNAcentral.